RNAcentral lists this ribosomal RNA (574 nucleotides) under uncultured bacterium. Its description in RNAcentral is "partial 16S ribosomal RNA". It matches the Rfam family "Bacterial small subunit ribosomal RNA", at positions 354 to 919 of the family's 1533-position model. The record is from RNAcentral.
UGGGGGAAUUUUGGACAAUGGGCGAAAGCCUGAUCCAGCAAUGCCGCGUGUGUGAAGAAGGCCUUCGGGUUGUAAAGCACUUUUGUCCGGAAAGAAAUCCUUGGCUCUAAUACAGUCGGGGGAUGACGGUACCGGAAGAAUAAGCACCGGCUAAUUACGUGCCAGCAGCCGCGGUAAUACGUAGGGUGCAAGCGUUAAUCGGAAUUACUGGGCGUAAAGCGUGCGCAGGCGGUUUGCUAAGACCGAUGUGAAAUCCCCGGGCUCAACCUGGGAACUGCAUUGGUGACUGGGCAGGCUAGAGUAUGGCAGAGGGGGGUAGAAUUCCACGUGUAGCAGUGAAAUGCGUAGAGAUGUGGAGGAAUACCGAUGGCGAAGGUAGCCCCCUGGGCCAAUACUGACGCUCAUGCACGAAAGCGUGGGGGAGCAAACAGGAUUAGAUACCCUGGUAGUCCACGCCCUAAACGAUGUCAACUAGUUGUUGGGGAUUCAUUUCCUUAGUAACGUAGCUAACGCGUGAAGUUGACCGCCUGGGGAGUACGGUCGCAAGAUUAAAACUCAAAUGAAUUGACGGGGU